RNAcentral lists this ribosomal RNA (540 nucleotides) under uncultured diatom. Its description in RNAcentral is "bacterial SSU rRNA". It matches the Rfam family "Eukaryotic small subunit ribosomal RNA", at positions 500 to 1038 of the family's 1831-position model. The record is from RNAcentral. Lineage: Eukaryota; Bacillariophyta.
GUCUGGCAAUUGGAAUGAGAACAAUUUAAAUCCCUUAUCGAGUAUCAAUUGGAGGGCAAGUCUGGUGCCAGCAGCCGCGGUAAUUCCAGCUCCAAUAGCGUAUAUUAAAGUUGUUGCAGUUAAAAAGCUCGUAGUUGGAUUUCUGGUGCAUUCCACUGGCCUAUUGGUUAACUCCAACUUGGCUCAUUUGGAAUACGCCAUCUUUAGGCAGACCCGUCGUGGCAUUAGGUUGUCGUGAUGGUUACGCCUAUCGUUUACUGUGAAGAAAUUAGGGUGUUCAAAGCAGGCUUAUGCCAUGAAUACGUUAGCAUGGAAUAAUGAGAUAGGAUUUCGGUACUAUUUUGUUGGUUUGUGUACGGAAAUAAUGAUUAACAGGAACAGUGUUGUGGGUAUUCGUAUUUCGUUGUCAGAGGUGAAAUUCUUGGAUUUACGAAAGACGAACGACUGCGAAAGCAUUUACCAAGGAUGUUUUCAUUAAUCAAGAACGAAAGUUAGGGGAUCGAAGAUGAUUAGAUACCAUCGUAGUCUUAACCAUAAACU